GACAGAGGAUGCAAGCGUUAUCCGGAAUGAUUGGGCGUAAAGCGCGUGUAGGCGGCCAGAAAAGUCCGCUGUGAAAACUCGAGGCUCAACUUCGAGCUGUCGGUGGAAACUUUCUGGCUAGAGUCCGGAAGAGGAGAAUGGAAUUCCUGGUGUAGCGGUGAAAUGCGCAGAUAUCAGGAAGAACACCCGUGGCGAAGGCGGUUCUCUGGGACGGUACUGACGCUGAGACGCGAAAGCGUGGGGAGCGAACAGG
This 253-nucleotide ribosomal RNA is filed under the name uncultured bacterium. RNAcentral's name for it is "partial 16S ribosomal RNA". It matches the Rfam family "Bacterial small subunit ribosomal RNA", at positions 524 to 776 of the family's 1533-position model. The record is from RNAcentral.